This 119-nucleotide ribosomal RNA is filed under the name Pteropus alecto (black flying fox). Lineage: Eukaryota; Metazoa; Chordata; Mammalia; Chiroptera; Pteropodidae. The record is from RNAcentral.
GGCUACAGCCAUGCUACCCUGAACAAGCCCGAUCCCAUCUGAUCUCGGAAGCUAAGCAGGGUUGGGCCUGAUCAGUACUUGGAUGGGAGACCAUCUAGGAAGACCAGGUGCUGUAGGCA